Non-coding RNA from Heterocephalus glaber (naked mole-rat), 1247 nucleotides. The record is from RefSeq and is a predicted model, not a curated record. NCBI's taxonomy places the organism in Eukaryota, Metazoa, Chordata, Mammalia, Rodentia, Bathyergidae.
CCACAAAGAUCUUUUGGGGCACUGAAUAUGGGGGUCUGAAUAGCCUGCAGACUCCCAGAUUCUUGGGGAAAGAUGUUCCAAAGGGAAGUAAGGACACUGAAAGAGAGGUGAUCUUAGGCAACAGAUUGUUCAGUUUAUCCUGAGUCUAUUUUCACAGUGAUCAGAGCUUGGAUUCUGAGGACAGUGCUGAUUUAAUGUAUUUUACCGUGUUUUCUCUGACAAGGGGAAAUGCAGUUAUCAUAUUGGAGAACUACUUCAUAAUACAAUGGAGACUCAUGUUCUCGGUUUGUUUACGGUCAAUUAGCCUCUGACUAUACUCUUUGUUGGAAUUAGUGAUUCCCAUCAAUUUCAUUGUCUUUAUUGGGCCCUGUCAAGGGAGAAAGUAGUCUUAUCCAAUCCAUCCACUGGGAAAAGCUAGUGACUUGAUCAGCUGUCCACCCAGCAUGUCUCCCUUUUAAAAGACCACAGAGAAAGGGGAACAGGCAUUCAGGACCACUUGGAGGAAAUACCUUCGCGAAGGUAAAGACUUUGAAUUCUAGCAGUCACCUACGAUGUCUGUGUCAGUCUGAACCUCGCAACGAUAAUUUUCAACUUCAAUAAGGUCAACAAAUUAACCAUGUCUUCUACUUGACUGGGUCUCUGAAAACUGUGUAGGAAGUAUCGAGAUUUGGCUGUUGCAUCAGCAGUGAUGAUGCAACAAUGGUUGGUAAGUGGCAGCACUAGCCUUAUGGAUGUAGGGGGAACCCUAUUGCUCCCCUCCUGGCAGGUGUGACUGCCCAGAUUUGGAUCUGAUAGGAGAUCAGUGUUUCCUCUGUGGUUCUAGAUUCCUUUCUCAGGAUCAUAGGAGGGUGUUAACUAUAAAGAGUUCUACAAUGGAGCCAGAUCGCUUCAAUUUGAGUCCUGUUUCAGCUACUUCAUAGUUCUGGUAUCUACUAAAACAAGUUUGAUGUACAUCGUGGAACCUUUUUCUAUGCAUACUGGUGCACAUAUAGACUUUUAAAUCUUGUACCAACACGAUAUAAAACUGAAAGGGACUGUUUUCCUCUGGAUCACACUCAUUUAUGUUUAAAAGAAGAUUUGAGGACGAAGAAACCUGUGACAGAACAGUUGGAGAAAACUGAUGGAAUCAUGCAUUGGAAGAAAUGCAGAUGAGUAUAUACAAGGAUAUUAUUUUCCCUUGUUAAAAUAUGUGAUAAUGGUCUAAUAGAGACAUGGUUACCUUUACAUUUCUUCUCUUCUGUUUGGAA